CCCUUAGAUGUUCUGGGCCGCACGCGCGCUACACUGACGAAUGCAACGAGCUUAUAACCUUGGCCGAAAGGUCUGGGUAAUCUCCAAAUUUCGUCGUGAUGGGGAUAGAUUAUUGCAAUUAUUAAUCUUCAACGAGGAAUGCCUAGUAAGCGCAAGUCAUCAGCUUGCGUUGAUUACGUCCCUGCCCUUUGUACACACCGCCCGUCGCACCUACCGAUUGAAUGGUCCGGUGAAGCGUUCGGACCGUGGCCUUUGGACGGUUCGCCGUCUGUUGGCUGCGGGAAGUUCGUUAAACCUUAUCAUUUAGAGGAAGGAGAAGUCGUAACA
Molecule: ribosomal RNA, 327 nt
Filed under: uncultured eukaryote
Lineage: Eukaryota
Description: partial 18S ribosomal RNA
Rfam family: Eukaryotic small subunit ribosomal RNA
Source: RNAcentral